Molecule: ribosomal RNA, 471 nt
Filed under: uncultured bacterium
Lineage: Bacteria
Description: bacterial SSU rRNA
Rfam family: Bacterial small subunit ribosomal RNA
Source: RNAcentral
AUUGAACGCUGGCGGCAUGCCUUACACAUGCAAGUCGAACGGUAACAGGUUAAGCUGACGAGUGGCGAACGGGUGAGUAAUGUAUCGGAACGUGCCCAGUCGUGGGGGGAUAACGUAGCGAAAGCUACGCUAAUACCGCAUACGAUCUAUGGAUGAAAGCGGGGGAUCGCAAGACCUCGCGCGAUUGGAGCGGCCGAUAUCAGAUUAGGUAGUUGGUGGGGUAAAGGCCUACCAAGCCGACGAUCUGUAGCUGGUCUGAGAGGACGACCAGCCACACUGGGACUGAGACACGGCCCAGACUCCUACGGGAGGCAGCAGUGGGGAAUUUUGGACAAUGGGCGCAAGCCUGAUCCAGCAAUGCCGCGUGCAGGAUGAAGGCCUUCGGGUUGUAAAGCCCUUUUGGCGGGGACGAUGAUGACGGUACCCGCCGAACUAAGCUCCGGCUAACUUCGUGCCAGCAGCCGCGGUAAU